GCCGCGGUAGCUCAGGGGUAGAGCACGCCCUUGGUAAGGGCGGGGUCGGAGGUUCGAUUCCUCUCCGCGGCACCA
RNAcentral lists this transfer RNA (75 nucleotides) under Rhodospirillaceae bacterium. RNAcentral's name for it is "tRNA-Thr". It matches the Rfam family "tRNA". From Rfam's summary of the family: Transfer RNA (tRNA) molecules are approximately 80 nucleotides in length. Their secondary structure includes four short double-helical elements and three loops (D, anti-codon, and T loops). Further hydrogen bonds mediate the characteristic L-shaped molecular structure. tRNAs have two regions of fundamental functional importance: the anti-codon, which is responsible for specific mRNA codon recognition, and the 3' end, to which the tRNAs corresponding amino acid is attached (by aminoacyl-tRNA synthetases). tRNAs cope with the degeneracy of the genetic code in two manners: having more than one tRNA (with a specific anti-codon) for a particular amino acid; and 'wobble' base-pairing, i.e. permitting non-standard base-pairing at the 3rd anti-codon position. Lineage: Bacteria; Pseudomonadati; Pseudomonadota; Alphaproteobacteria; Rhodospirillales; Rhodospirillaceae. The record is from RNAcentral.